This 1696-nucleotide long non-coding RNA is filed under the name Lactuca sativa (garden lettuce). RNAcentral describes it as "long non-coding RNA (LSAT_LNC006529)". The record is from RNAcentral. Lineage: Eukaryota; Viridiplantae; Streptophyta; Magnoliopsida; Asterales; Asteraceae.
GAAUAAACUAUAGGGUUUGAUUUUGCCAAAAUCAUACUUCAAGGACUGAUAUUGAGAAUUACUCUCAAGAUAGGGGUUAAACAUGUGUAUUUGAAACUGUUGUAUGGUUUUAGUACUUAAUUUAUUAGGUUUUUCCAAGGGAGGGACCAUUGUUUGUUUAAUUAAAUACAAGUUUGACUUAGCUUUGACCUUUGACUGGGUCAAAAUCAAAACUCAUUUGUUUAUGGGGGCUCCAAGUCUGAUCCACAUAAGUGGGUCCAUUUACGAAAAGGAUCAGGGCUCUUACCCCGUUUCUUAGUUUGAUCGGGUAAUGGAUACGAAACGCGAAUGAACUACAGCGGACAUGAAGGAAGGAAGCGUCAUUGCAGCGGAGAAGAAAUCGAACACCAACUUUGAUUUGGGGGUUCAACCCUUGGUUCCUUGUUCGUCGCAGGCCAAAAAGGGGACCGGGAGGCAUCGGCGAUUGCCUAUUGCAAGGAGGAGAGGUCAUCUCCGGGGCUCCGCGAAUCGAUGCAACGAAGGGAACAAGAAUGAAGCUUCAUCUUCGUCUAAUCGGUUAGGUAGAAGCUAAAAUCGAAGGUAGAAAUCAAAUCAGUUUGGUGGUGGUUUAGUUGAUUGCGAGCAGUGGCGCCAGCAGGUGGCGCAUCUUCUUUCUUUUCUGGCCUGAUAGAUAGCAAACACGAAAGGAGGAAGGUCUUGGUCUUCACCUGAUUUCGAAAGGGUUGAAUAGACUAAAUCAGAAAACGAGAAGCAGCACAACAGGUAUUUGGGAAAUUUUUUGGUUGUAGUGAACUUGAUGAUAAACAAAUGUAAUCAAGAAAGGAUUUUCUCCAUCUUGAUUACCGAGAACUACCUACAUCUAGUGGUGUUUUUGGUAGGAGAACGGAGGAGAAGAAUUGAGAAGGCAGAAGAUCUUGGAGCUAGCUUGCCAUCGAGAUAGAAGAGAACAGGAGGUUGAGUCGAGGGAGGUAGCAACAACAGUGAUCGAAGGGGUGUUUGGCUAGUUCUUCUUCAACAGAAAAAUGAACGGGAAGCAAUAGGUAAAGGUUUCUCUUUUUUUUUUUUUUUUUGAUUUUUUUUGAACGGAAAUUGAAGGAGAAUAAGAGUAGAACAACAAAAUUUCGUUUUGUUUUGAUUGAAAUCUAUAGGGUUUUGAUAUGUAUUUGGGUUUCUUUGUUUGACAGGGAAAGAAUUAGAACUAAGAGGUUGCUGUUUAUUGAAAUCAAAAGGAAGAAGAUGAAAUGGGAUGAAGAAUGAUGAAGCAGUCGUUAUCAUUUUGCAGUCCAUUGUGAAUAUCUUAUAUGAUUCGUAUGUAUUGUAUGUAUUGUAUCUGUGAGUGUGUCUUGCAACUGCACUGUGAAAUCUUGGAGUGUUAAUGAAUGUUCAAUGGAUGGGGCUUCCAUGAAAGGGCACACAGAAGAGCAGAAGCCAUUGCGUGUUGUUUUGUUUAUGAUAAAACUAGUUUAUAACCCGUGGUUUUCACGGUUACAAAAUUAAUUAAAUUUUCUUAGUAAGAGUUCAAAAAUUAUUAAUUAAUUAUUUUAAAUAAAUUACUAAUUAACAAAUAUUUUAUUAGUUAUAUAAAAUUAUAAUCGCUAAUUUAAAUAAAUAUAUGAAAUAUUAUAUCAACUAUAAUUUGUAUUAAUUUUAUUGUAAUUUUAUUCUAAUGUUAUUAAUUUAAUUUAAUUAGAGUGAG